RNAcentral lists this transfer-messenger RNA (333 nucleotides) under Pelagibacterium sp. SCN 63-126. It matches the Rfam family "Alphaproteobacteria transfer-messenger RNA". Rfam says of the family: Bacterial tmRNA, also known as 10Sa RNA or SsrA, is named for its dual tRNA and mRNA-like properties. Its role is to liberate the mRNA from a stalled ribosome. The record is from RNAcentral. Lineage: Bacteria; Pseudomonadati; Pseudomonadota; Alphaproteobacteria; Hyphomicrobiales; Devosiaceae.
GAGUUUGCAUCCGGCGUUCGGGUCACCUAUAUAGGGGGUGCCCGUAAGGGCUAUGGCGAUAAACGGUCAUUGUAAUAAACCCAUCGGACCCGGGGGCGGUACCCGGCGUCUCCACCAUCUACCCCUCGCGGAUCGACGAGGGCGUAAAGAGUGUGCUUUUGCUCGGUGAGGUACCACCGUUAUCGGUCCGAAACUUAUAGUUGCUAAUGACAACAAUAAGGCUCCGGUUGCUCUCGCUGCGUAAUGCGGUGCUAGCACUGGGAAUUUAAGUCCUCCGCCCCUAGCCGGGCGACAGGCGGGGUUCGCAGGCACCUGGCAACAGAAGCCUGCACU